RNAcentral lists this ribosomal RNA (497 nucleotides) under uncultured bacterium. RNAcentral describes it as "partial 16S ribosomal RNA". It matches the Rfam family "Bacterial small subunit ribosomal RNA", at positions 28 to 507 of the family's 1533-position model. The record is from RNAcentral.
GAUGAACGCUGGCGGCGUGCCUAACACAUGCAAGUCGAGCGAAAAGACGAUGAGCUUUUUCCCUUGCCGUUAGCGGCUGACGGGCGAGUAACACGUGGAUAACCUUCUUCUAUUACUUGGAUAACUUCGGGAAACCGGAGCCAAUACUGGAUCAUAUAUUCAACCGCAUAGAUCAAUAGAUAAUGACGGCUUUCCUGUCACUUAUAGAUGGAUCCGCGUCGCAUUAGCUAGUUGGUAAGGUAACGGCCUACCAAGGCAACGAUGCGUAGCCGACCUGAGAGGAUGAUCAGCCACACUGGAACUGAGACACGGUCCAGACUCCUACGGGAGGCAGCAGUGGGGAAUAUUCGACAAUGGGCGAAAGCCUGACCCAGCCAUGCCGCGUGAGUGAAGAAGGUCUUCGGAUCGUAAAACUCUUUUAUUAGGGAAGAACAGCAGUGUAAGAAACUCUGCACGUCUUGACGGUACCUAAUCAAAAAGCAACGGCUAACUACGUG